GUCGAGCGGAUGAGUGGAGCUUGCUCCAUGAUUCAGCGGCGGACGGGUGAGUAAUGCCUAGGAAUCUGCCUGGUAGUGGGGGACAACGUUUCGAAAGGAACGCUAAUACCGCAUACGUCCUACGGGAGAAAGCAGGGGACCUUCGGGCCUUGCGCUAUCAGAUGAGCCUAGGUCGGAUUAGCUAGUUGGUGAGGUAAAGGCUCACCAAGGCGACGAUCCGUAACUGGUCUGAGAGGAUGAUCAGUCACACUGGAACUGAGACACGGUCCAGACUCCUACGGGAGGCAGCAGUGGGGAAUAUUGGACAAUGGGCGAAAGCCUGAUCCAGCCAUGCCGCGUGUGUGAAGAAGGUCUUCGGAUUGUAAAGCACUUUAAGUUGGGAGGAAGGGCAGUAAGUUAAUACCUUGCUGUUUUGACGUUACCGACAGAAUAAGCACCGGCUAACUUCGUGCCAGCAGCCGCGGUAAUACGAAGGGUGCAAGCGUUAAUCGGAAUUACUGGGCGUAAAGCGCGCGUAGGUGGUUCAGCAAGUUGGAUGUGAAAGCCCCGGGCUCAACCUGGGAACUGCAUCC
RNAcentral lists this ribosomal RNA (572 nucleotides) under Stutzerimonas stutzeri. Its description in RNAcentral is "bacterial SSU rRNA". It matches the Rfam family "Bacterial small subunit ribosomal RNA", at positions 61 to 628 of the family's 1533-position model. The record is from RNAcentral. Lineage: Bacteria; Pseudomonadati; Pseudomonadota; Gammaproteobacteria; Pseudomonadales; Pseudomonadaceae.